GCCGGUGAUAAACCGGAGGAAGGUGGGGAUGACGUCAAGUCAUCAUGGCCCUUACGACCAGGGCUACACACGUGCUACAAUGGCGCAUACAAAGAGAAGCGACCUCGCGAGAGCAAGCGGACCUCAUAAAGUGCGUCGUAGUCCGGAUUGGAGUCUGCAACUCGACUCCAUGAAGUCGGAAUCGCUAGUAAUCGUGGAUCAGAAUGCCACGGUGAAUACGUUCCCGGGCCUUGUACACACCGCCCGUCACACCAUGGGAGUGGGUUGCAAAAGAAGUAGGUAGCUUAACCUUCGGGAGGGCGGCUUACCACUUUGUGAUUCAUGACUGGGGUGAAGUCGUAACAAGGUAACCGUAGGGGAACCUGCGGUUGGAUCACCUCCUUACCUGCAAGA
This 393-nucleotide ribosomal RNA is filed under the name Cronobacter sakazakii. RNAcentral's name for it is "bacterial SSU rRNA". It matches the Rfam family "Bacterial small subunit ribosomal RNA", at positions 1151 to 1533 of the family's 1533-position model. The record is from RNAcentral. Lineage: Bacteria; Pseudomonadati; Pseudomonadota; Gammaproteobacteria; Enterobacterales; Enterobacteriaceae.